Molecule: long non-coding RNA, 215 nt
Filed under: Panax ginseng (ginseng)
Lineage: Eukaryota; Viridiplantae; Streptophyta; Magnoliopsida; Apiales; Araliaceae
Description: long non-coding RNA (PGIN_LNC013658)
Source: RNAcentral
UUUUACUACGGUGCAGUUUUGACGCUUUCAGGGUCGGGUUCUCAUCACCCUAUUGUUGUUCACCAAAAUUAAUUAUUAAGUGACGUAUAAAAUACGACACACACAUCUAAGGUCCUCAAUACAAUUAUAUAUUUCAUGUCAUGCCAUAGUGAGGACUACUAAUGCUAUCAUCUGGACCGUCACUCCAUUCCCCGACUCGUCCAGCUAUAUUCUCA